AGAUCAGAGUGAAAUUCAGCUGUGACAUGUGCUGCCCCAUUGAUUGCCAUGGUUGAUUCAGCUGUUUUAGCUAGCUUGGUAAGUGUCUCCUUCAUCCCUCAUCACUCCACAUGUGACCCUCCUGAAGGUAGACACUCAACCAUUGAUACUUUCUAUGAUAGAGGAGGACUGUACUUUGGUCAAGUGCAUAAAAUAAUUUCUGAUAGAAUCUCCAAACAAGAUCAAGAAAGUAAAAUAGCAGAGAAAUUUUAUAGAAAUUCUUCACUUGUGUUUUGCAUUUCAAAAAGCUAGUGGCUUACAAGGUGUUUG
RNAcentral lists this small nuclear RNA (309 nucleotides) under Nannospalax galili (Upper Galilee mountains blind mole rat). Its description in RNAcentral is "7SK RNA (ENSNGAG00000001853.1)". It matches the Rfam family "7SK RNA". Rfam says of the family: 7SK was discovered as an abundant small nuclear RNA in the mid-70s but a possible function has only recently been suggested. Two independent studies have found that 7SK RNA binds the CDK9/cyclin T complex (known as elongation factor P-TEFb). P-TEFb activates transcription by phosphorylating the C-terminal domain of RNA polymerase II. Lineage: Eukaryota; Metazoa; Chordata; Mammalia; Rodentia; Spalacidae. The record is from Rfam by way of RNAcentral.